RNAcentral lists this ribosomal RNA (504 nucleotides) under uncultured bacterium. Its description in RNAcentral is "partial 16S ribosomal RNA". It matches the Rfam family "Bacterial small subunit ribosomal RNA", at positions 29 to 523 of the family's 1533-position model. The record is from RNAcentral.
AGUGAACGCUGGCGGUAGGCCUAACACAUGCAAGUCGAACGGCAGCACAGGAGAGCUUGCUCUCUGGGUGGCGAGUGGCGGACGGGUGAGGAAUACAUCGGAAUCUACUUUUUCGUGGGGGAUAACGUAGGGAAACUUACGCUAAUACCGCAUACGACCUACGGGUGAAAGCAGGGGAUCUUCGGACCUUGCGCGAUUGAAUGAGCCGAUGUCGGAUUAGCUAGUUGGCGGGGUAAAGGCCCACCAAGGCGACGAUCCGUAGCUGGUCUGAGGAUGAUCAGCCACUCUGGAACUGAGACACGGUCCAGACUCCUACGGGAGGCAGCAGUGGGGAAUAUUGGACAAUGGGCGCAAGCCUGAUCCAGCCAUACCGCGUGGGUGAAGAAGGCCUUCGGGUUGUAAAGCCCUUUUGUUGGGAAAGAAAUCCAGCUGGUUAAUACCCGGUUGGGAUGACGGUACCCAAAGAAUAAGCACCGGCUAACUUCGUGCCAGCCGCCGCCGUAA